UACGUAGGGUGCAAGCGUUGUCCGGAAUUAUUGGGCGUAAAGAGCUCGUAGGCGGUUUGUCGCGUCUGCCGUGAAAGUCCGGGGCUCAACUCCGGAUCUGCGGUGGGUACGGGCAGACUAGAGUGAUGUAGGGGAGACUGGAAUUCCUGGUGUAGCGGUGAAAUGCGCAGAUAUCAGGAGGAACACCGAUGGCGAAGGCAGGUCUCUGGGCAUAAACUGACGCUGAGGAGCGAAAGCAUGGGGAGCGAACAGG
Molecule: ribosomal RNA, 253 nt
Filed under: uncultured bacterium
Lineage: Bacteria
Description: partial 16S ribosomal RNA
Rfam family: Bacterial small subunit ribosomal RNA
Source: RNAcentral